RNAcentral lists this long non-coding RNA (650 nucleotides) under Trifolium pratense (red clover). RNAcentral describes it as "long non-coding RNA (TPRA_LNC007533)". The record is from RNAcentral. Lineage: Eukaryota; Viridiplantae; Streptophyta; Magnoliopsida; Fabales; Fabaceae.
UUUGAAGUAAGGGACCCAAAACCAAAGGAAAAAAAGAGAAUGUUCUACCAUUCUCAAUAAUUAGAAAUCAACACUAUCUUAAAAUUAAUAAUAUCAAUAAUUAUCAACAUACAUCAAUUAUCGAUAAAGAAAGGGUUGAGGGGAAGAAACCCCAUUACAUAAUUGAGUCUAUAAUAAUAUACUACUUGGAAUUGAAAUUUGAUCCAAAGAAUUCAACAGAAGCAACAACACAAGUCAUCCAAUAAACCCUGUGUACAGUCAUAGCAGCAAGAACAACUGCAUCAUCUCCACACACAAUAAAAAACAAAGUUAGACAAUAUAUUCAUGUUCUUUUUUUUUGUUUCUUACAAUCUACUAUAUAAGAAAAGAAAGUACCUAUGAAAUUCCUAAUUUACCCCUUUUUCAUUUUUUGACACAUAAUCAAUUCAGGGUUAUUUUGUGUCUUUAUUAAAAAACGUUAGUAGAAAAAUGCUAAAAAAUUUCUUAGUAGAAAUCGAACCCUUAACCUUUUACUUACAAUUCUUAUUAGAUUUACCACUAAGCCAUAUGAAAUAAUUUGUUAUAUUUUUGGAACCAACAUAUAAUCAACAUGAGUUAAGUUAAAAGAAGAAAUGGGAAGUGUUUAUUUAUUUUUUCUUUUUCAUAAUAAG